RNAcentral lists this ribosomal RNA (491 nucleotides) under uncultured bacterium. Its description in RNAcentral is "partial 16S ribosomal RNA". It matches the Rfam family "Bacterial small subunit ribosomal RNA", at positions 29 to 507 of the family's 1533-position model. The record is from RNAcentral.
AGUGAACGCUGGCGGUAGGCCUAACACAUGCAAGUCGAACGGCAGCACAGUAAGAGCUUGCUCUUACGGGUGGCGAGUGGCGGACGGGUGAGGAAUACAUCGGAAUCUACUUUUUCGUGGGGGAUAACGUAGGGAAACUUACGCUAAUACCGCAUACGACCUACGGGUGAAAGCAGGGGUCUUCGGGCCUUGCGCGGUUGAAUGAGCCGAUGUCGGAUUAGCUAGUUGGGGGGGUAAAGGCCCACCAAGGCGACGAUCCGUAGCUGGUCUGAGGGGAUGAUCAGCCACACUGGAACUGAGACACGGUCCAGACUCCUACGGGAGGCAGCAGUGGGGAAUAUUGGACAAUGGGCGCAAGCCUGAUCCAGCCAUACCGCGUGGGUGAAGAAGGCCUUCGGGUUGUAAAGCCCUUUUGUUGGGAAAGAAAAGCAGCAGGUUAAUACCCCGCUGUUCUGACGGUACCCAAAGAAUAAGCACCGGCUAACUUCGUG